This is a non-coding RNA of Phalacrocorax carbo (great cormorant), 253 nucleotides long. Lineage: Eukaryota; Metazoa; Chordata; Aves; Suliformes; Phalacrocoracidae. The record is from RefSeq and is a predicted model, not a curated record.
GGAUGGGCGGACCGAGACUCUCGGCCCCUUGAAAGCUAAAGCCGCCCUAGUUGGGCUCUCGAGGGGUGUUCCUGCAUGCGAUCGAGACCUGUGUCGUGUUUCAGCUGUCGCCGUGCAUGCAGGUGACUUGUUUGACACCGGUUUGGCAGGUGCCGAGGGAGGAGUCGUGCAGGGUGAUGGAGGACGGCGCUGUCAGCAGGUGGUGGGCGAGCCUCAAGAUGGCAACCGUAUCUGAUGGAGGCCAGGUAGGUGC